GACAGACUGGUACUGUUGAGUCGGUUCAAUUUUUUUGAUUCAUGUUUUGGCAGAUCAUUUGUGUUCAUUCGAAUCCUCAAUGUCUAAUGUGAAUUCUCAUACUUUUUCCAAUCAAAUUGGCCACUCCUAGCCUUUUAUGUAGCCAACCCUAGCUCACGCGACAGACUGGUGUUGUUGAGUCGGUUUAAUUUUUUUGAUUCAUAUUUUGGCAGAUCUUUUGUGUCCAUUCGAAUUCUAAAUGUCCAAUGUGAAUUCUCAUACUUUUUGCAAUCAAAUUGGCCACUUCUGGCCUUUU
Molecule: long non-coding RNA, 295 nt
Filed under: Prunus persica (peach)
Lineage: Eukaryota; Viridiplantae; Streptophyta; Magnoliopsida; Rosales; Rosaceae
Description: long non-coding RNA (PPER_LNC008614)
Source: RNAcentral